Molecule: ribosomal RNA, 2863 nt
Filed under: Acinetobacter baumannii
Lineage: Bacteria; Pseudomonadati; Pseudomonadota; Gammaproteobacteria; Moraxellales; Moraxellaceae
Description: bacterial LSU rRNA
Rfam family: Bacterial large subunit ribosomal RNA
Source: RNAcentral
GUUGUAUAGUCAAGUAAUUAAGUGCAUGUGGUGGAUGCCUUGGCAGUCAGAGGCGAUGAAAGACGUGAUAGCCUGCGAAAAGCUCCGGGGAGGCGGCAAAUAUCCUUUGAUCCGGAGAUGUCUGAAUGGGGGAACCCACCUACUUUAAGGUAGGUAUUGCAACAUGAAUACAUAGUGUUGCAAGGCGAACGAGGGGAAGUGAAACAUCUCAGUACCCUUAGGAAAAGAAAUCAAUUGAGAUUCCCUCAGUAGCGGCGAGCGAACGGGGAUCAGCCCAUUAAGUUAUGUGUGUUUUAGUGGAACGCUCUGGGAAGUGCGAACGUAGAGGGUGAUAUUCCCGUACACGAAAGGGCACACAUAAUGAUGACGAGUAGGGCGAGGCACGUGAAACCUUGUCUGAAUAUGGGGGGACCAUCCUCCAAGGCUAAAUACUCCUGACUGACCGAUAGUGAACCAGUACCGUGAGGGAAAGGCGAAAAGAACCCCUGUGAGGGGAGUGAAAUAGAUCCUGAAACCGCAUGCAUACAAGCAGUGGGAGCACCUUCGUGGUGUGACUGCGUACCUUUUGUAUAAUGGGUCAGCGACUUAUAUUCAGUAGCAAGGUUAACCGUAUAGGGGAGCCGUAGAGAAAUCGAGUCUUAAUAGGGCGUUUAGUUGCUGGGUAUAGACCCGAAACCAGGCGAUCUAUCCAUGAGCAGGUUGAAGGUUGGGUAACACUAACUGGAGGACCGAACCCACUGUCGUUGAAAAGCCAGGGGAUGACUUGUGGAUAGGGGUGAAAGGCUAAUCAAGCCUGGUGAUAGCUGGUUCUCCCCGAAAGCUAUUUAGGUAGCGCCUCGGACGAAUACCAUAGGGGGUAGAGCACUGUUUCGGCUAGGGGGUCAUCCCGACUUACCAAACCGAUGCAAACUCCGAAUACCUAUGAGUACUAUCCGGGAGACAGACUGCGGGUGCUAACGUCCGUAGUCAAGAGGAAAACAAUCCAGACCGCCAGCUAAGGCCCCAAAAUCAUAGUUAAGUGGGAAACGAUGUGGGAAGGCAUAGACAGCUAGGAGGUUGGCUUAGAAGCAGCCACCCUUUAAAGAAAGCGUAAUAGCUCACUAGUCGAGUCGGCCUGCGCGGAAGAUGUAACGGGGCUAAAACUAUGUGCCGAAGCUGCGGAUNNNNNNAUGCUGGAGGUAUCAGAAGUGCGAAUGCUGACGUGAGUAACGACAAAACGGGUGAAAAACCCGUUCGCCGAAAGACCAAGGGUUCCAGUCCAACGUUAAUCGGGGCUGGGUGAGUCGACCCCUAAGGCGAGGCCGAAAGGCGUAGUCGAUGGGAAAAUGGUUAAUAUUCCAUUACUUCUGUGUAAUGCGAUGAGAGGACGGAGAAGGCUAAAUCAGCCUGGCGUUGGUUGUCCAGGUGAAAGGAUGUAGGCAUGUAUCUUAGGCAAAUCCGGGGUACUCUAUGCUGAGAUCUGAUAGCAAGCUGUACUUGUACAGCGAAGUGGUUGAUGCCAUGCUUCCAGGAAAAGUCUCUAAGCUUCAGUUACACAGGAAUCGUACCCGAAACCGACACAGGUGGUCAGGUCGAGUAGACCAAGGCGCUUGAGAGAACUCUGCUGAAGGAACUAGGCAAAAUGGUACCGUAACUUCGGGAGAAGGUACGCUGUUGUUGGUGAUGGAACUCGCUUCCUGAGCUGACGACAGCCGCAGAAACCAGGCCGCUGCAACUGUUUAUUAAAAACAUAGCACUCUGCAAACACGAAAGUGGACGUAUAGGGUGUGAUGCCUGCCCGGUGCUGGAAGGUUAAUUGAUGGGGUUAGCGUAAGCGAAGCUCUUGAUCGAAGCCCCAGUAAACGGCGGCCGUAACUAUAACGGUCCUAAGGUAGCGAAAUUCCUUGUCGGGUAAGUUCCGACCUGCACGAAUGGCAUAAUGAUGGCGGCGCUGUCUCCAGCAGAGGCUCAGUGAAAUCGAAAUCGCUGUGAAGAUGCAGUGUACCCGCGGCUAGACGGAAAGACCCCGUGAACCUUUACUGCAGCUUGACACUGAACUUUGACCUUACUUGUGUAGGAUAGGUGGGAGGCUUUGAAGCUGGAACGCUAGUUCCAGUGGAGCCGUCCUUGAAAUACCACCCUGGUAAUGUUGAGGUUCUAACUCUGUCCCGUGAUCCGGGACGAGGACCGUGUCUGGUGGGUAGUUUGACUGGGGCGGUCUCCUCCUAAAGAGUAACGGAGGAGUACGAAGGUGCGCUCAGCGUGGUCGGAAAUCACGCGUAGAGUAUAAAGGCAAAAGCGCGCUUAACUGCGAGACCCACAAGUCGAGCAGGUACGAAAGUAGGUCUUAGUGAUCCGGUGGUUCUGUAUGGAAGGGCCAUCGCUCAACGGAUAAAAGGUACUCUGGGGAUAACAGGCUGAUACCGCCCAAGAGUUCAUAUCGACGGCGGUGUUUGGCACCUCGAUGUCGGCUCAUCUCAUCCUGGGGCUGAAGCAGGUCCCAAGGGUAUGGCUGUUCGCCAUUUAAAGAGGUACGCGAGCUGGGUUUAGAACGUCGUGAGACAGUUCGGUCCCUAUCUACCGUGGGCGCUGGAAAUUUGAGAGGAUCUGCUCCUAGUACGAGAGGACCAGAGUGGACGAACCUCUGGUGUACCGGUUGUGACGCCAGUCGCAUCGCCGGGUAGCUAUGUUCGGAAGGGAUAACCGCUGAAAGCAUCUAAGCGGGAAGCCUACCUCAAGAUAAGAUUUCCCUAGGACUUUAUGUCCUCUAAAGAGCCGUUCGAGACUAGGACGUUGAUAGGUUGGAUGUGGAAGCAUAGUGAUAUGUGAAGCUGACCAAUACUAAUUGCUCGUGAGGCUUGACUAUACAACACCCAAGCAGUUG